Suncus etruscus (white-toothed pygmy shrew) is the source of this 133-nucleotide small nucleolar RNA. RefSeq annotates it as small nucleolar RNA SNORA51. NCBI's taxonomy places the organism in Eukaryota, Metazoa, Chordata, Mammalia, Eulipotyphla, Soricidae. The transcript has a single exon. The record is from RefSeq and is a predicted model, not a curated record.
GUCCUACCAAUUUUUACCACAGGCCGUGUUCUUUACACUGACUGUAUAGAAAGAGGAGGUACAGUAAAUGCAUCCCAUAUGCACCUCAAGCUAGGCCUUUUGUCUGGUCUGUUUUGUGAAUUGAGAGACAAAA